UACGUAGGGGGCAAGCGUUGUCCGGAAUCAUUGGGCGUAAAGCGCGUGUAGGCGGCUCGAUAAGUCCGCUCUGAAAGCCCGGGGCUCAACCCCGGGAGGCGGGUGGAUACUGUCGAGCUUGAGUCCGGAAGAGGAGUGUGGAAUUCCUGGUGUAGCGGUGAAAUGCGCAGAUAUCAGGAGGAACACCAAUGGCGAAGGCAGCACUCUGGGACGUGACUGACGCUGAGACGCGAAAGCGUGGGUAGCGAACAGG
RNAcentral lists this ribosomal RNA (253 nucleotides) under uncultured bacterium. Its description in RNAcentral is "partial 16S ribosomal RNA". It matches the Rfam family "Bacterial small subunit ribosomal RNA", at positions 524 to 776 of the family's 1533-position model. The record is from RNAcentral.